CGCAUGUGUUGUUUUAGUGGAAGUACUCUACUCAGCGCUAAUAAGCAGUGCUAUUCGGUGUGUACGUGGUGUGUGAUUGGUUUAAGGUGAGGAUUCUCCUGUAAACCUGACAGAGGGCGUUUUCUUUAGAUGCUCGAGAGGAGGUGGGUGUCGCAAUCAUUUGAGUCGCAUUUUUGGUUCGGGACCAGCGUUCACAUUCUCUUGGAGAAGCAUUAAUUUCACGAUUUACAGUAUGUUCCUAGGUUUGUCAGAUCCAUGACCGUGCAUGUGGGUUCAGCCAAAGUGGUAAAUGUUUAAGACCUGCAUCACUUUGGAAUUUCCUCCCACAUCAAGGUGACACACCGUGAUAUAACUGGAAUACUGUCCAAAAGCAUACUACAUAAGCAAGACUACAUGACUACACUCGCCUGUACAGUAUUGUUGACCUCAGGAUAGAACUAUGAAAUAGUGACAGAAAGCAUCAGCCCGGUGAAUCGUUACUCCCCAAGCCCUCACCCCCUAUUGGAUGGCCCCUGGAUUUAUGAGAUAUUUUGUCAAGAAUUAAAUAUGAUCAAAAGGAAGAGAAUAUAUGGAUGUCAACUUCUUUAUUUCCGAGUCAAUGAAAGUCACGUGACACAGCACAAGUUAACCUCAGCUCAAUCAAACCGCUAUUUUCUAUCAAUUUUCAUUUUUUUUUAAUUCUUUACAAUGGCAGAUUGAAACGUGUCGGUUAGAAACACUUGUUGUAGCAGUAUCAAAAGGGGUACAUGUGGUUUGUGUCCCCUCUUAGGUUUUAGCCCACUCGCGGAACACAUAAAACCGCAUGUACCGCAAGUGAUACUGCCACAAGUUAGAAUGUAUCUUUCUAGAUGUGUCGGUUAGAUACACUUGUUGUAGCAGUAUCACCAGGGGUACAUGUGGUUUGUGUGUCCCUUCUUAGGUUUUAUCCCUCUCGCGGAACACAUAAAACCACAUGUACCGCGAGUGAUACUGCCACAAGUUAGAAUGUAUCUUGCUCCUCAUAAUAAAGAUAUAAUACAUUAUGUGUGUCACUUCUAAAUGCCAUUCAAAGACUUAAAUAUGAUCAUACAUUAUUUUCACAAAACAUAUCUCCGUCAAGAGACCACUUUCAUUGACCAUUUGAGGAUAGGACCAAAAUAAGCCGCCAUUGAAUUCUUCAUGACCAUAUAUACACAUGCUUCUGGCUGUUCUCAUGUCUAUGCUGAAUAUUUGAAUAGGCUUGAAAUCUGUGAAACGAUGUUCAUGAUCGAUUCCUCGGACUGGUAAUCUUUUACCAAUCUUGUCCUGAGCUUUUUUAAAAUGUGUAUAGAUUUGUUUCAACCUAUCAUUCUUAUAAUAUUUAAUUCUAACCAUGAUGGUUUGAGAGAAAAAUUAUGAGAAAUGAAUUAAUUUAAUAAUGUAUUUAUUUGUUGCAACAGAAAGUCACUAUUCUGUGCACAUACAAAAACUUAGUUUGGUAUAUGCAGGAAUCAGGUUAGAUUUGAUAGCAGCAAAAGGAAAAGCAUGUCGAAGUUGUUUUGCUAGUACAGUCACCAUUCCAAACAAUUUACAUAAUGAUCUCCAAAUUUAUAUUUCACUUACAUAAACAUCAGUUUUCAUUUUGUUUUAAAUCAUAGAAUAUAUCAUUUCUAAGCAUCAAGAGUUGACCACUCACUCCUUCAUCUUACUACCCUGUUGCGGUCGCAACCCCUCGCUCUGUUAGAACCCAAGGAUGCAAUUCUUGUUUAGAAGUUUUUGAAAAAGUAGAUCCAAUAAUAAUCUUGUUAAGAAACUACUUGGUCUUAGUGAUUUGGCCGUUACAAUGAGCUGUUUAAUGAUAAAAUUGGGUCACUGAAUUAUGACACUUUUUGUGUAUUUCUUGCUUGGAAUGCAAUGCUGCAACUGCUCCCUUUAUGAUGGUGUGAUUGGGUGACCGAUGAAUCAGCAUUAAUAUGGUCCCACAAAGCAAGGUUUACGUUAAGGUUUAAGACUAACACAUAAAAAUCUUUCAUGAUUUUAUAUGUUGGCAUUAAGGCUUUGUCAAUACUCAGUUUAUUUGAAGGAAAAUACAUUCUACUUUCUGAGGGGAUAUAAGUACUAAGCAUUCCGAUUAAUGUGCGUUUUUUGCACGACCCAAUUUAAAAAUCAUCAAUUUCAUACUCUGUUAUUAUUUAUGUUAGAUAUUACUGAAUCGGACUACUGUCCAUCAAUUUCUCAAAUGUUGUAAUGCCUUGGUUAUUAAUAAUAAUCUGACCUUGCAUGACUUAGCUUCCGGGUUACAAAGUACAAUUAGUUUCUAAUUAUGCAACAUUAGCUUCAUGUUUGUUUACUUUGUUGUGAGGAUUGAAUCAUUAUGCAGUCAAGCGAAAGUUUUUUUUAGUGAUGGACCCUUUAUCAUGCAAGUUGCUUGUAAAUAACGCCCUUUUUGCGGGUUAAAGUUGCUUCUAAUCUUUAUGCAAAACAAAAAACUAAGUUCCAUUUUCAGUAAUGUGUUAUUCAAGCAAUAUGUUUACUGUAUAAAUUAUCUACAACUGUUAAUGCCUUAUUAUUUUUUCACGGAUGAAGUCGUUAGAUUUAAAUCUUGUUGAGUGUCUCAUGUGCUUGGAAAAGGUUUCAUGAUCAAAUUAAUUUACUUAAUUUGUUCAACAGUAUUUGUUUGAUUAUUUUUCUUGCAAUAACAAAUAAUAAUUUAUUGUCUAUAUCUUUUUUUAAUGGCUUAAAAUUGAACAAGUUGUUGAGAAAUUAUUCUUUUGAUAAUUUUCUUUUUCUUCACGCCAAGUCAAAUAAUUUCAGUAAUGAAAAAAUUAAGAAAUUUUUCAGAUGUAUAACCGUUCUUUUGAGAAGUAGCUUUUAAAUAUAUAAUUUUUGUAUUUUGUGAACUAAUCCAAUUAUCAGAAAACUCCAACACGUGAGACAGCCCAAGGUCAUGUUAACAUUAGAUUGUUGUUAAUCAGGUUAAUAUUUCUACAUUGUUUAGUUGUUGCAUGAAAAUAAUAUAUUUGAAUUGUUGAUGCUGUUUCUAUUACAACUGGUUCCAUCCUUUCCACAAACAUUGCACAAUUUUAUCUGGGAGAGAUGAACAGGGGAAGUUAUGAUAAUAACCUCACUGAAUAGUCUAAGAAAGUAAAGAAAGUUUUUGUUAUCUUUUAGGCCAGGAAUUUGAUCAUGCAGUUGAGGUCAUAGGUCAAACGUUCAGUAGUCCACUUGAACAAGGCGAUGAUAAUGUUCCUUGUGAUACAGUGUUGUGUUGAGGAUGUAAGCAAAGCGUGACCUCUAAAUUGUGUUGUACAUGUGGGUCAACUUAAGGUCAAGGUCACUACAGUUUGUUCCUGUAAACCAUGGCUCUGAUACUAGACCAUUUUACUGGCCCUUUUUUUCAGCGUUAUGAUCUCAACCCAAGUUCAUUCUCUCCCUAAUUUAUUCAGUCAAGUGCCUUCGCCUUGACCAUAUUUGGUGAGGUGUUUUGAGCAGUUUAAGCACUUUUUAUCACCAAGAUGACAGGUAUUCAAUGGCAAAUGGUUGCCUCGUUACAGGGAACCAAUAUUGAACAUAUCAAAUAUGUUGUUGCAUAUGUGUAUGUUGUAAAAUCCAUUCACCAGUGUGUUGCUCCUUGCAUGUGUUAUCAUUGACAGACAAAAUAUUGUUGCUGCAAAAUCGUAGGCUAUUAUUCCAGGUAUUCCUUUAACCAGCUUUUUACAUGGUAAAUAAAAGAUAGGUAAAACUGGUUUUUAUUCUCUAUCCAAGAGACCCAAGCACUGUCACCUUGGUUACAGCUGAAACAGUUGUAUCCUGCAAAAUAUUUCUCCUUUAUUCCCAUGUGUAUGUGUUGUCAUGACGAUAUUGUGCACAGUUGACUUCAUUAGUUUACUUUGUACAGUGUAGGAUUUUACAUUUUGACUUUUAAUGAAAUAGUGUUUCAUAUAGGACACAAAUUACAGCAUGUAAUGUGUUUUUUUAAUUUAAGGAAAGAUGUUUCCAAUCUGUAAAUUCUGAAACAUUUAUUUAUCAUAUUAUUAGCUAGAAAUUAUAUGUGAUUCUGGACUAUAUAAGCUGCAAAGUGUGAGUGUUCAUCUUGAUAUGUUAUAGGUGCUGAGUUGUCAGUUUCAAAAAUCUGGGUUUCUUUCAGUAAUUCUUCUGCAUUCAAUGACUAAAUACUCAUUCGUAUUUUAAAGCAUUAUGAUUCAAAAUCUUUUAACAAUAAUUUUUUUGCGAAUCUUACGUGAUUCAAGCAUUACAAGAAUCAAAUCUUCAGGAGGAGGAAAUAACUCCAUGACAUACAUUGAGAUUAUUUUGUCCAUAGAGCUUGAUUAGCGGAUAAAAUAAUUCUGAAUGAAUCCAACCCAGAUUGUAUGUUUUAUUUUUAGAGUAUUAUGUCUCCAGCAUUACCAUUGUAUUCAUACAGCAAGCAUUUGUCAGCUUCCUUUUGUUCCGUGGCUAUAGAAUUGUGUUUAUGACUGAAAACCUUAUGCUUUGUAAAGGGAAUCUAGCUCAACCAGCAUUAGCACAAUCAAAGUAAGUGUGUGUUACCUGCCUCGUUACCUGUCUCGUUACCUGCCUUUGAUAAUUUGUAAGAUGGCAGUAAUUUGCUUGAAGACAAAUUUGCAAUAAUUUCUGUAAAAUUGGAACUUAUGUUGAAACUUUAACUUCAUUAAAUGUUAAAGUUUGUCUACCCAGUUGAAGUCAGUCUGAAAGGUUCUGGCUGUCAUGGUACCACUGGUGUCAAGUCAUUACAAUCUGGUGUGCCAGGAUAAGUGCGUAUUAUUGUCAUGUCUUGAUAUAAAAUGAUACUCUAACACCACAUAAGAGAAUUUGUUGUUACCCAAUCCUAAGGGUUCUAAGAAACAAUUGCAUGCUAAAUUCAUUUCAGGUCGCACAUUUUAAGAUAUUUACCAUUCCAAAACUAAGUACAGUAGGACAUAUUGUCUUGGUUUAUUUCAUACCUGACAACCUUACUAUGAUGACUUAGCACCACAGUAACAGGAAUGGGUGUGUUCCUUUAGGCAUGCCAGAGACCUAAACCUACGAUACGGGUUCGAAUCCCAGAUUUACCCUGCUUUUGAUCCCUAGUUCGUCAGCAUGACACCGGGAUCAGGAGUUUCACCAAAGUGAUAACCAUGUGAGGCCUGCAUCACUUCAGGCUCUAUUCCCACAUUAAGCUGACACACCAUGAUAUAACUGGAAUACGGAACAAACAUUGUUUAACCUGACUCCCUAACUCAGUCAAUAUCACAACCUUGCUCCAAGGCUGUACUAAGGCAAAACCCUUGUUAUUCCAGUUACUGUAAGUCUAGAUAACAUAACAGUUUGUCUGUCACGUAUAGGAACAAAAUUAGCUGGUGAUAUUUAAAAAACCCAGCUGAUCACAAAGUGCAAGUAACUCCAAGGCUUUUGUUUCCAGUUAUUGAGCUAGUUUCUCUUGUCUCUGUUGUAUGUAGAUAAUUAUGGACACAUCUCAAGGCGUAAACUCUUUCCGUGUCAUGAUGUUUCUGGCAAAAACAGAACUGAUGGGAUGUCCUCAGUAAUCUAAUGAAGCCAUAAAAUUUGACAUUUUGUUGAGCAAUAUCCUUCACACACAAUUUUGUCAUAUUUAACAUGGAUUAAAACAAUUGUCAUUUUUAUUUUCCUUCAAGAGGCCUGGAGAUAAUGAUGGCCCAUGUUUGCCCACUUGAACUGCCACAUUUAUGAAAUGAUGGAAAUCUUUUUAAAGAGUCAGGCAUGUGACCAUACAUGUUCAUUUGACUGAGAUAACUAACUUUUUGUCAUUUCAACUCUUACAAGAGAUAUAGGUACAAAGAAAUUUGGUGGGAAAUUUCUGCGUGUAUUAUGGACUUGCUCAUUGUUACAUCUGCUCCAGAUGUUAAAAAGAUGCCUUUUUCUUUCUUUCAUCGAUGCUCGAUGUCCAAAACUGGUCAUGAAUGUGUGAAUUUCUUUUUAUUGACAAAUUGAUGCUUCUUUAAAGUGUGUGAAGGUUUUGGUAAACCAAAAAUUUAUGCUUCUAGAAAAAUAAAUCUAUUAGUUCUGUAUUUGCUACCAUCAGAUCGUGCUUAAAAGACAUGGGUUCAGUUCCAAGAAGCGGUCUCAGAGCUAUGACAAUCUUAACUCUCAUUUUUAACGUGGACUUUAAUUACCACUAUCUUAGCACUAACAUUGCUUUCUGGAACUGGCCCAUUUCCCAGACUCUUUGUUGGUCUACAGACUGUCUGGCAAGAAAUGGCUGACUUUGUUGAAAGUAUUAGACAACAGUAUUCUCAAACGAAAAGCUCAAAUUUCUGUUUCAAGACAAAUCAGCUGAAUCGUUGAAUUGAAAAUGGCAGUUUUAUAUGCCAGCAUAGCCUAGAACUGAUUGUCUUAGAAAUUCAAGCUUUUCAGACUCUAAGAGAGACUUGAAAUUUCAAUGUUAUGUUUGAUGUAUUUUGUGUAUAGAAUUUUGUGAAUAUCACAGUAACAUUUUCUUCAAGUGUUCAAAUCUAAGAGUCACCUGCCCAAGUAUACUGAUUGUGACUGAAAACAUUUUCUUGGAGACUUUUUAAAAUGUUUUUCUACAUCCUCCAUGUCUUGGUUGUAAUGAAGUUUCAAUUUUAUAAAUUGGAAUAACCUUACUUACUGAACAUGGUAAAGGUUUAGGAAAAUACACGAGGGUAUUUUGAGAAUAUGUUAAGACCUACCAUACAGUCAUCCAGUGUUGUACGUCUGAGACCUGCUUUACUUCCUUCCACAUUAAGCCAGGAUAUAACUGGAAUACUGUUAAUAGUGGCAUUGAGACCCAUUUCAGUCAGUCAGUCACUCACUCACUCCAAGGUUUUAAUGUCCAACUGUAAGCACUUCACUGUUGUUUGUAAAUUAUGCCAUUCGACAGGUUUUUUGAUGAUGUUGCUUCCAAUAUGGUGUCAUGCCGCAAUCCACCAUUGCAAGCUGUAUGGGAGGUGCCCCAGCAGUAUUGUCUGUGUUUCCACCAGUGUGGCCCGAGUGAGCUGUGUGGGAGGUGCCCCAGCAGUAUUGUCUGUGUUUCCACCAGUGUGGCCUAAGUGAGCUGUGUGGGAGGUGCCCCAGCAGUAUUGUCUGUGUUUCCACCAGUGUGGCCCGAGUGAGCUGUGUGGGAGGUGCCCCAGCAGUAUUGUCUGUGUUUCCACCAGUGUGACCUGAGUGAGCUGUGUGGGAGGUGACCCAGCAGUAUUGUCUGUGUUUCCACCAGUGUGACCUGAGUGAGCUGUGUGGGAGGUGCCCCAGCAGUAUUGUCUGUGUUUCCACCAGUGUGACCUGAGUGAGCUGUGUGGGAGGUGCCCCAGCAGUAUUGUCUGUGUUUCCACCAGUGUGACCUGAGUGAGCUGUGUGGGAGGUGCCCCAGCAGUAUUGUCUGUGUUUCCACCAGUGUGACCUGAGUGAGCUGUAUGGGAGGUGCCCCAGCAGUAUUGUCUGUGUUUCCACCAGUGUGGCCUGAGUGAGCUGUGUGGGAGGUGCCCCAGCAGUAUUGUCUGUGUUUCCACCAGUGUGGCCCGAGUGAGCUGUGUGGGAGGUGCCCCAGCAGUAUUGUCUAUGUUUCCACCAGUGUGGCCUGAGUGAGCUGUAUGGGAGGUGCCCCAGCAGUAUUGUCUGUGUUUCCACCAGUGUGGCCUGAGUGAGCUGUAUGGGAGGUGCCCCAGCAGUAUUGUCUGUGUUUCCACCAGUGUGGCCUAAGUGAGCUGUGUGGGAGGUGCCCCAGCAGUAUUGUCUGUGUUUCCACCAGUGUGGCCCGAGUGAGCUGUGUGGGAGGUGCCCCAGCAGUAUUGGCUGUGUUUCCACCAGUGUGACCUGAGUGAGCUGUAUGGGAGGUGACCCAGCAGUAUUGUCUGUGUUUCCACCAGUGCGGCCUGAGUGAGCUAUAUGGGAGGCGCCCCAGCAGUAUUGUCUGUGUUUCCACCAGUGCGGCCCGAGUGAGCUGUGUGGGAGGUGCCCCAGCAGUAUUGUCUGUGUUUCCACCAGUGUGGCCCGAGUGAGCUGUGUGGGAGGUGCCCCAGCAGUAUUGUCUGUGUUUCCACCAGUGUGGCCUGAGUGAGCUGUGUGGGAGGUGCCCCAGCAGUAUUGUCUGUGUUUCCACCAGUGUGGCCUGAGUGAGCUGUAUGGGAGGUGCCCCAGCAGUAUUGUCUGUGUUUCCACCAGUGUGACCUGAGUGAGCUGUAUGGGAGGUGCCCCAGCAGUAUUGUCUGUGUUUCCACCAGUGUGACCUCAGUGAGUUGUAUGGGAGGUGCCCCAGCAGUAUUGUCUGUGUUUCCACUAGUGUGAGCUGUGUGGGAGGUCCUGGGGUAUCCACCAGUGCAUCGAGUGAGCUGUAUGAGAGGUGCCCCAGCAGUAUUGACUGUGUUUCCACCAGUGUGGCCUGAGUGAGCUGUAUGAGAGGUUACCCAGCAGUAUUGACUGUGUUUCCACCAGUGUGGCCUGAGUGAGCUGUAUGGGAGGUGCCCCAGCAGUAUUGUCUGUGGAGAGUGGCCAGUUGGUGGCGUUGUGCAAUAUGUCCUCGUGUCAGCCUCCUCUGUUCUGUAUAUAUAUCCCAUGUUGACUGUAGAGCUUGAAGAUAACAUGUGUCACAACUAUAUAAUAAAGCACUAGAAACUUGAA
Molecule: long non-coding RNA, 8571 nt
Organism: Haliotis rufescens (red abalone)
Lineage: Eukaryota; Metazoa; Mollusca; Gastropoda; Lepetellida; Haliotidae
Exons: 2
Source: RefSeq, a predicted model, not a curated record